This is a long non-coding RNA of Gavialis gangeticus (Gharial), 949 nucleotides long. RefSeq lists it as uncharacterized. The transcript has 2 exons. Lineage: Eukaryota; Metazoa; Chordata; Crocodylia; Gavialidae. The record is from RefSeq and is a predicted model, not a curated record.
UAACAUAGUCAGUUCCCCAAGCUUUUUAAUGGUGAACCAGCUAUUUUAUGGGAGACUGCCAAUUACAUGAUUUCUGUGAAAUCCCUGAAAUUGUGUAUUUGGUAGGUCCCUACUCCAGCGAUACAGUCCAUUCAUCAGUCUAUUUUUAAAACAGUUGUUAGGUUUUGUAGUACAAUGUAAAGGGCUAAUUUUAUCCCUGGUAUGAAGGGAACGUCACUGAAGGAAAUAAUGAUAUAUGUGUGUAAAAAUAUGCACCAUGCCUUGUCACUGCAUCGCGCAAGUAGAGUUGCUUCUGACUGACAUCUAUGUGAGAUAAGGCCCCAUGGCUGUAAAACAUGAAAAUUUUCUUAGCAUCACUGUGAAGAACAUGCAAAACUUUAAACUGGGGUUAUAAAAAUUUGGUUCUCAUUAAUUUAAGGUGUUGAGUACCCUUGUUUGACUUCAAUGGAAAUACAAUGGGAAACAGAGUAAAUGCUUUAUUCUAAGCAAUACAUAUUUAGGAACUGAUCCCAUAACUGUACAUAAGUGAAGUGCUCUGUAUAUAUAUAACUAAUUCCAGUAUCUCAAAUGGUGUGUCUAUUUAAAGCUACUGUUUCACUCUAUACUUACCCAAAAGGAAGUAAAUUGUGGUUACUAUUUAUCCACUAUUCUUAAAUAUAAUUAUCUCUCUUCAUUUUUAUAGGAAAAAUGGAGUUUAGUACCUGCUCUCGACACUUGAUGCACAUUUGGCAGGAGGCCAAGGUGAAUCAGAAUAAACAGCCAGAAGAAAAUGCCAAAUACAAGAAAAUAACAGCAACUUAAUAUGAUUUAAUACCAAUAAAGUGGUUAAGAUGAAGUUUCUUAAACGCUGUAGUGAAAUAUGGUUAACAUGGACUAUUGAGAAACACCUCCAGUUUUGUAUGUUUUCUGAAUGGAGUAUAUGGAAAAUAAAUAGAAAUGUUUGGUCUUA